Molecule: long non-coding RNA, 727 nt
Filed under: Homo sapiens (human)
Lineage: Eukaryota; Metazoa; Chordata; Mammalia; Primates; Hominidae
Description: non-protein coding lnc-MAP6-1:1
Source: RNAcentral
AAAAUGUCAUUGGAAAAGUUUUAUUGAAAAAAAAAAUGUACAAAUAAGUUCUUGGAUUGAUAGCAACAAAGGCUCAUGUUCCCCCUUCCCUCCCUAUCUUUGAAGAACUAAAAAAGGAAGAAACAAAACAAAAAGUUCAUCCCCACAACGCCAGACACGAUGCUUCUUGACCAGAGUCUGCCCAGAAGCCCCUCCUGGGAGCUCCUUCUCAAUCCGCCUCACUGCGGCCAGGUCAUUCUGGGGGUGCCUGGUCCCAGGGGCUGCAGCACCUAGUUUUAUAGUUGGGAGAGGUUGGGAUAGAGCUGGGGAGGCAGCUGAGGUGUUUUAGUGUCAGAAGAGGGCUGGCUGACCCCCCUAGCUCAAUUUGGUCUCACAGGUGAGAAGGCAGGCUUGAUCUGGGACUUUCAGGGCAGGCAGAAUGACUAUGGCCCAGGUCCCACAGGAUGUGGAGUUUCCGGGCUCAGCAUCAUGGUAUCUGGGGCCCAUGUCCAAGUGGAGUGAAUUCUAGCUGGGAAGGUCCGCUCAGGCACACGGGAACCCCGGUCUGUUUUUCCACCCCCACCCCAUGGAGUAUCCAAGGCUGGUACCUCACCUCCCCCCCAACCCCAAUAGCACCCAUGUGUCUCAGGAGCCUUUGGAUGCCUCCUGCCAUCCUGUGUGCACCCUGAGGCCCUAUAACUCGUCUCGCAUCUUGUCACCCUUAGGCCGGACCAGGCGCCCAAUGAAU